GCCGGAGGGAAACCGAGUCUUAAUUGGGCGUUAAGUUGCAGGGUAUAGACCCGAAACCCGGUGAUCUAGCCAUGGGCAGGUUGAAGGUUGGGUAACACUAACUGGAGGACCGAACCGACUAAUGUUGAAAAAUUAGCGGAUGACCUGUGGCUGGGGGUGAAAGGCCAAUCAAACCGGGAGAUAGCUGGUUCUCCCCGAAAGCUAUUUAGGUAGCGCCUCGUGAAUUCAUCUCCGGGGGUAGAGCACUGUUUCGGCUAGGGGGCCAUCCCGGCUUACCAACCCGAUGCAAACUGCGAAUACCGGAGAAUGUUAUCACGGGAGACACACGGCGGGUGCUAACGUCCGUCGUGAAGAGGGAAACAACCCAGACCGCCAGCUAAGGUCCCAAAGUCAUGGUUAAGUGGGAAACGAUGUGGGAAGGCCCAGACAGCCAGGAUGUUGGCUUAGAAGCAGCCAUCAUUUAAAGAAAGCGUAAUAGCUCACUGGUCGAGUCGGCCUGCGCGGAAGAUGUAACGGGGCUAAACCAUGCACCGAAGCUGCGGCAGCGAACGUAUCACUUAAAGCGAUUCAGCGGGUUACGAUUGACGGAGCGAAGCGACGUCAAAGCGUAUACAAAGUCGAGUCGGUUUAAGGAUACGUUCGUUGGGUAGGGGAGCGUUCUGUAAGCCUGUGA
RNAcentral lists this ribosomal RNA (673 nucleotides) under Salmonella enterica subsp. enterica serovar Muenchen. Its description in RNAcentral is "partial 23S ribosomal RNA". It matches the Rfam family "Bacterial large subunit ribosomal RNA", at positions 665 to 1253 of the family's 2925-position model. Lineage: Bacteria; Pseudomonadati; Pseudomonadota; Gammaproteobacteria; Enterobacterales; Enterobacteriaceae. The record is from RNAcentral.